GUGGGCGGUCUGCGGCUUCGGACAUAUGUCUGAGGAAGUUCUGUCCAUGGGGCUGGGACCGUAGCUCCUCUGGAGCCUGGCGAAAGUCAGGGUAAAGCACAGAAACAACACGGCCACUACCCGAUGAGAAUGAGACAGCCCAUCUGUCGAUGAGCGUGGUGGAAGCGGUGAAAAGCUCCCUUACGGUCAUGCAAGACCAAAUGUUGCCAAUGAAUCCCCAGCCAGAGGCAGAGGUAGGUCGCUCAGUGGAAUGCCGCAGGUGAUCUCCAGAUCACAUACAGAAGACAGGCUAUAGACCGCCCAC
Molecule: RNase P RNA, 304 nt
Filed under: Candidatus Methanofastidiosia archaeon
Lineage: Archaea; Methanobacteriati; Methanobacteriota; Candidatus Methanofastidiosia
Also listed under: 1 other name
Description: RNase P RNA component
Rfam family: Archaeal RNase P
About the family: Ribonuclease P (RNase P) is a ubiquitous endoribonuclease, found in archaea, bacteria and eukarya as well as chloroplasts and mitochondria.
Source: RNAcentral